Molecule: ribosomal RNA, 407 nt
Filed under: Verrucomicrobiota bacterium
Lineage: Bacteria; Pseudomonadati; Verrucomicrobiota
Description: Verrucomicrobia bacterium partial 16S ribosomal RNA
Rfam family: Bacterial small subunit ribosomal RNA
Source: RNAcentral
UGGGGAAUAUUGGGCAAUGGGCGAAAGCCUGACCCAGCAACGCCGCGUGAAGUAUGAAGGCCUUCGGGUUGUAAACUUCUUUGAUCAGGGAAGAAACAAAUGACGGUACCUGAAAAACAAGCCACGGCUAACUACGUGCCAGCAGCCGCGGUAAUACGUAGGUGGCGAGCGUUAUCCGGAUUUACUGGGUGUAAAGGGCGUGCAGGCGGGCUGAUAAGUCAGAUGUGAAAUCCCCGAGCUUAACUCGGGAACUGCAUCUGAUACUGUUGGUCUUGAGUGCUGGAGAGGAUAGUGGAAUUCCUAGUGUAGCGGUAAAAUGCGCAGAUAUUAGGAGGAACACCAGUGGAGAAGGCGGCUAUCUGGACAGUAACUGACGCUGAGGCGCGAAAGCGUGGGUAGCAAACAGG